Cavia porcellus (domestic guinea pig) is the source of this 557-nucleotide non-coding RNA. The record is from the annotation of a RefSeq genome assembly. Lineage: Eukaryota; Metazoa; Chordata; Mammalia; Rodentia; Caviidae.
CAGCCCUCACUCUGCAGCUCUGCAGAGGAGCCCAGCCCUGGAGUCCCAGGUGUUUCCUUUCGGGGAUCGGGACUGAGCACAGACAGCCCACAAUGGAGCUUGCGCUGAGAUGGGUUUUCCUUGUUGCUGUUUUAAAAGGUGUCCAGGCUGAGGUGCAGCUGGUGGAGUCUGGGGGAGGCUUGGUGCAACCUGAGGGGUCCCUGAGACUCUCCUGCGUGACCUCGGGAUUCACCUUUAGCAAUUACUACAUGCACUGGAUCCGCCAGGCUCCAGGAAAGGGCCUAGAGUGGGUUGGUUUAAUUAGAAACGCGGCUAAGAGUCACACUACAGAGUACGCUGCAUCCGUGAAAGGCAGAUUCACCAUCUCCAGGGAUGACUCCAAAAGCACACUGUAUCUUCAAAUGACCAAACUGAAACCCGAGGACACCGCUGUUUACUACUGUGCAGGAGACACAGUGAGAGGACAUCAAUGUGAGCCCUGACACAAACCUCCCUGCUGUGGUAGAGAGAUGCGCAAAAGCUUUGAGAGUGGGAAUCGACAAACCAAAGAGCGUUGA